AAUAAUUGCAGAACCUGAUAAUGCGGCAUGUGAAUCACUCUGCUAGUGAUCUGAUUGAUCUCUUGCAAGGGCUUCUGUGAUAUGACCGAGCAGAGCAGCUCAAAGCAAAGGAAGCUCUUAGACAUCCCUACCUGAGAAGGUGACUGGUUGGAUGGUUGAAUACCAAGAUAAUCUGGUAAGCCUUGGUGUUGAUGAGUCCUUAGCUCAAGUUUGUUCCAAGAGUGGUGCAAUGGAUCCCCUUAUGAAUGCAUAUGUUGAAAGAAUGCAAGCUACAACAAGGAAAUGGUACUUGAAUAUCCUUGAGGCUAAAAAGGUACAACCACCAAAGAAA
Non-coding RNA from Camellia sinensis, 331 nucleotides. Lineage: Eukaryota; Viridiplantae; Streptophyta; Magnoliopsida; Ericales; Theaceae. The record is from RefSeq and is a predicted model, not a curated record.